UGGGGAAUAUUGGACAAUGGGCGAAAGCCUGAUCCAGCCAUGCCGCGUGUGUGAAGAAGGUCUUCGGAUUGUAAAGCACUUUAAGUUGGGAGGAAGGGCAGUCAGUUAAUACCUUACUGUCUUGACGUUACCAACAGAAUAAGCACCGGCUAACUUCGUGCCAGCAGCCGCGGUAAUACGAAGGGUGCAAGCGUUAAUCGGAAUUACUGGGCGUAAAGCGCGCGUAGGUGGUUCAGCAAGUUGGAUGUGAAAGCCCCGGGCUCAACCUGGGAACUGCAUCCAAAACUACUGAGCUAGAGUACGGUAGAGGGUGGUGGAAUUUCCUGUGUAGCGGUGAAAUGCGUAGAUAUAGGAAGGAACACCAGUGGCGAAGGCGACCACCUGGACUGAUACUGACACUGAGGUUCGAAAGCGUGGGGAGCAAACAG
This 428-nucleotide ribosomal RNA is filed under the name uncultured bacterium. Its description in RNAcentral is "bacterial SSU rRNA". It matches the Rfam family "Bacterial small subunit ribosomal RNA", at positions 355 to 775 of the family's 1533-position model. The record is from RNAcentral.